GAGUUUGAUCGUGGCUCAGGAUGAACGCUAGCGACAGGCUUAACACAUGCAAGUCGAGGGGCAGCAUGAUUUGUAGCAAUACAGAUUGAUGGCGACCGGCGCACGGGUGAGUAACACGUAUCCAACCUGCCGUCUACUCUUGGACAGCCUUCUGAAAGGAAGAUUAAUACAAGAUGGCAUCAUGAGUCCGCAUGUUCACAUGAUUAAAGGUAUUCCGGUAGACGAUGGGGAUGCGUUCCAUUAGAUAGUAGGCGGGUAACGCCCACCUAGUCUUCGAUGGAUAGGGGUUCUGAGAGGAAGGUCCCCCAAUUGGAACUGAGACACGGUCCAAACUCCUACGGGA
Molecule: ribosomal RNA, 343 nt
Filed under: uncultured bacterium
Lineage: Bacteria
Description: bacterial SSU rRNA
Rfam family: Bacterial small subunit ribosomal RNA
Source: RNAcentral